UUACCGGGAGCGCGCCCGGGGGGAGCCAUCCUCCCCCCGGGCCUCGGGGUGCCUUUGGGGGCCCUGAACUCUCACCUUGUGUUGUCUUACCUGACGUUGCUUCGGCGGCAUGGGUCUUCUCUUCGGGGGGGUUCCCUCGCCGGAGGACCUUAAAAUCUUGUUUGUCUGGGUGAUGUCCGAGGGCGAAAACGAAAAUCGUGAAAAACUUUCAACAACGGAUCUCUUGGUUCCGGCAUCGAUGAAGAACGCAGCGAAAUGCGAUAAGUAAUGCGAAUUGCAGAAUUCAGUGAAUCAUCGAAUCUUUGAACGCACAUUGCGCCCCCUGGCACUCCGGGGGGCAUGCCCGUUCGAGCGUCAUUGACCCCUUCAAGCCUCGGGCUUGGUGUUGGGCCGCGUCCCUCCCGCUCCAGGGGGGGAUGUGCCUGAAGAUGAGUGGUGGCCCCGGGACGACCCUUGGCGCGAUGGUAAUCCUUCGCCGUCGGGCCUCGCCCCGGGUGCCUGCCAACUAACCACGCCCCUGGGAGGAGGACUCGGAAUACACCUGUGACUUUUGAGAACCAAGAGCUCAGGUUACCCUCCCUUGGGAAGCACACGGUUGACCUCGAAUCGGGUAGGGAUACCCGCUGAACUUAAGCA
This 636-nucleotide ribosomal RNA is filed under the name Leptogium saturninum. Its description in RNAcentral is "eukaryotic LSU rRNA". The stretch from base 204 to 357 matches the Rfam family "5.8S ribosomal RNA". The record is from RNAcentral. Lineage: Eukaryota; Fungi; Ascomycota; Lecanoromycetes; Peltigerales; Collemataceae.